AACGAACGCUGGCGGCAGGCUUAACACAUGCAAGUCGAACGCAUCCUUCGGGGUGAGUGGCAGACGGGUGAGUAACGCGUGGGAACGUGCCCUUCAGUUCGGGAUAACCCAGGGAAACUUGGGCUAAUACCGGAUACGUGCGAGAGCAGAAAGAUUUAUCGCUGAAGGAUCGGCCCGCGUCUGAUUAGCUAGUUGGUGGGGUAAUGGCCCACCAAGGCGACGAUCAGUAGCUGGUCUGAGAGGAUGAGCAGCCACAUUGGGACUGAGACACGGCCCAAACUCCUACGGGAGGCGGCAGUGGGGAAGAUUGGACAAUGGGCGCAAGCCUGAUCCAGCCAUGCCGCGUGAGUGAUGAAGGCCUUAGGGUUGUAAAAUACUUUCACCGGGGAAGAUAAUAACGGUACCCGGAGAAGAAGCCCCGGCUAACUUCGUGCCAGCAGCCGCCGUAA
This 449-nucleotide ribosomal RNA is filed under the name uncultured bacterium. RNAcentral's name for it is "partial 16S ribosomal RNA". It matches the Rfam family "Bacterial small subunit ribosomal RNA", at positions 29 to 523 of the family's 1533-position model. The record is from RNAcentral.